Molecule: ribosomal RNA, 460 nt
Filed under: uncultured bacterium
Lineage: Bacteria
Description: partial 16S ribosomal RNA
Rfam family: Bacterial small subunit ribosomal RNA
Source: RNAcentral
CCUACGGGAGGCAGCAGUGAGGAAUAUUGGUCAAUGGCCGUAAGGCUGAACCAGCCAAGUAGCGUGAGGGAAGACUGCCCUAUGGGUUGUAAACCGCUUUUAUGCGGGGGUAAAGGUGUCCACGUGUGGAGGGUUGCAGGUACCGCAUGAAUAAGGACCGGCUAAUUCCGUGCCAGCAGCCGCGGUAAUACGGAAGGUCCGGGCGUUAUCCGGAUUUAUUGGGUUUAAAGGGAGCGUAGGCGGGUUUUUAAGUUUGACGUGAAAUUUUGGGGCUCAACCAUGAGAGUGCGGCGCGAACUGGAGACCUUGAGUGCGCGGAAGGCAGGCGGAAUUUGUGGUGUAGCGGUGAAAUGCUUAGAUAUCACGAAGAACCCCGAUUGCGAAGGCAGCUUGCCGCAGCGUUACUGACGCUGAAGCUCGAAAGCGCGGGUAUCGAACAGGAUUAGAUACCCUGGUAGUC